GCCCUCGUAUCCCAAUUGGCAGAGGAAACGGAUUCAAAACCCGUCCAGUGUGAGUUCGAGUCUCACCGAGGGCACCA
RNAcentral lists this transfer RNA (77 nucleotides) under Mycobacterium sp. RNAcentral's name for it is "tRNA-Leu". It matches the Rfam family "tRNA". From Rfam's summary of the family: Transfer RNA (tRNA) molecules are approximately 80 nucleotides in length. Lineage: Bacteria; Bacillati; Actinomycetota; Actinomycetes; Mycobacteriales; Mycobacteriaceae. RNAcentral also lists the same sequence under 196 other names. The record is from RNAcentral.